AUGCUGCUGCUGCUGGCAGAGGAGGAUGUGUCGAAGUUCUCCAUGUGGCCUUGUGUGCCACGCCACUGUCACUUUGUACCCAAUGCUCACAUGCUGCUGCUGCUGGCAGAGGAGGAUGUGUCGUGCUGGACUCUGCUCCCCAAAUUCACCUGUUCCCUGGUCCAGGCAGCGCUGACUCAGCCAGCCUCGGUGUCAGCCAACCCGGGAGGAACAACGGUGAUCGACUGGAAUGACAAUCGACCCUCGCACAUCCCUUCGCGAUUCUCCGGGUCCAAGUCCGGCUCCACGGGCACGUUGACCAUCGCUGGGGUCCAAGCCGAGGACGAGGCUGUCUAUUACUGUGGUGGCUGGGACAGCAGCAGUGUUAAACUCAUGGGGACAUUGCGCCCUGAGCCAUCAAGGCCUUAA
Molecule: non-coding RNA, 408 nt
Organism: Merops nubicus (carmine bee-eater)
Lineage: Eukaryota; Metazoa; Chordata; Aves; Coraciiformes; Meropidae
Source: the annotation of a RefSeq genome assembly